GACGAACGCUGGCGGCGUGCUUAACACAUGCAAGUCGAACGGAAAGGCCCUGCUUGCAGGGUACUCGAGUGGCGAACGGGUGAGUAACACGUGGGUGAUCUGCCCUGCACUUCGGGAUAAGCCUGGGAAACUGGGUCUAAUACCGGAUAGGAGCCAUUUUUAGUGUGAUGGUUGGAAAGUUUUUUCGGUGUAGGAUGAGCUCGCGGCCUAUCAGCUUGUUGGUGGGGUAAUGGCCUACCAAGGCGGCGACGGGUAGCCGGCCUGAGAGGGUGGACGGCCACAUUGGGACUGAGAUACGGCCCAGACUCCUACGGGAGGCAGCAGUGGGGAAUAUUGCACAAUGGGCGCAAGCCUGAUGCAGCGACGCCGCGUGGGGGAUGACGGCCUUCGGGUUGUAACCUCCUUUCGCUAGGGACGAAGCUUUUUGUGACGGUACCUAGAAAAGAAGCACCGGCUAACUACGUG
Molecule: ribosomal RNA, 465 nt
Filed under: uncultured bacterium
Lineage: Bacteria
Description: partial 16S ribosomal RNA
Rfam family: Bacterial small subunit ribosomal RNA
Source: RNAcentral